Molecule: ribosomal RNA, 493 nt
Filed under: uncultured bacterium
Lineage: Bacteria
Description: partial 16S ribosomal RNA
Rfam family: Bacterial small subunit ribosomal RNA
Source: RNAcentral
AUUGAACGCUGGCGGCAUGCUUUACACAUGCAAGUCGAACGGUAACAGGUUAAGCUGACGAGUGGCGAACGGGUGAGUAAUGCAUCGGAACGUGCCCGAUCGUGGGGGAUAACGCAGCGAAAGCUGCGCUAAUACCGCAUACGAUCUGAGGAUGAAAGCGGGGGACCGUAAGGCCUCGCGCGAUCGGAGCGGCCGAUGUCAGAUUAGGUAGUUGGUGGGGUAAAGGCUCACCAAGCCAACGAUCUGUAGCUGGCCUGAGAGGACGACCAGCCCAACUGGGACUGAGACACGGCCCAGACUCCUACGGGAGGCAGCAGUGGGGAAUUUUGGACAAUGGGCGAAAGCCUGAUCCAGCAAUGCCGCGUGCAGGAAGAAGGCCUUCGGGUUGUAAACUGCUUUUGUCAGGGAAGAAACGGUGAAGGCUAAUAUCCUUUGCUAAUGACGGUACCUGAAGAAUAAGCACCGGCUAACUACGUGCCAGCAGCCGCCGUAA